RNAcentral lists this ribosomal RNA (490 nucleotides) under uncultured bacterium. RNAcentral's name for it is "partial 16S ribosomal RNA". It matches the Rfam family "Bacterial small subunit ribosomal RNA", at positions 30 to 507 of the family's 1533-position model. The record is from RNAcentral.
AUUGAACGCUGGCGGCAGGCCUAACACAUGCAAGUCGAACGGUAACAGGAAGAAGCUUGCUUCUUUGCUGACGAGUGGCGGACGGGUGAGUAAUGUCUGGGAAACUGCCUGAUGGAGGAGGAUAACUACUGGAAACGGUAGCUAAUACCGCAUAACGUCGCAAGACCAAAGAGGGGGACCUUCGGGCCUCUUGCCAUCGGAUGUGCCCAGAUGGGAUUAGCUAGUAGGUGGGGUAACGGCUCACCUAGGCGACGAUCCCUAGCUGGUCUGAGAGGAUGACCAGCCACACUGGAACUGAGACACGGUCCAGACUCCUACGGGAGGCAGCAGUGGGGAAUAUUGCACAAUGGGCGCAAGCCUGAUGCAGCCAUGCCGCGUGUAUGAAGAAGGCCUUCGGGUUGUAAAGUACUUUCAGCGGGGAGGAAGGGAGUAAAGUUAAUACCUUUGCUCAUUGACGUUACCCGCAGAAGAAGCACCGGCUAACUCCGUG